Molecule: ribosomal RNA, 455 nt
Filed under: uncultured archaeon
Lineage: Archaea
Description: bacterial SSU rRNA
Rfam family: Archaeal small subunit ribosomal RNA
Source: RNAcentral
GGAGGUUACUGCUAUCGGUGUUCGCCUAACCCAUGCAAGUCAUAUGUUCUUCGUGAACAUGGCGUACUGCUCAGUAACACGUGAAUAACCUGCCCUUGGGACCGGCAUAACCCCGGGAAACUGGGGAUAAUUCCGGAUACCGCAUAUAUGCUGGAAUGCUUUAUGCGUGAAAUGGAUUCGUCUGCCCAAGGAUGGGUCUGCGGCCUAUCAGGUAGUAGUGGGUGUAAUGUACCUACUACCCUACAACGGGUACGGGUUGUGAAAGCAAAAGCCCGGAAAUGGAUUCUGAAACAUGAAUCCAGGCCCUACGGGGCGCACCAGGCGCGAAAACUUUACAAUGGAAUACACGGCGACAAGGGGACCCCCAUUGCGGGAAACAUUUGUUGGCUGUCCAGGUGUGUAAACUACACCUGUUAGCGAGGCCCGGGUAAGACGGGUGCCACCCGCCCCGAUAA